Non-coding RNA from Podarcis lilfordi (Lilford's wall lizard), 69 nucleotides. Lineage: Eukaryota; Metazoa; Chordata; Lepidosauria; Squamata; Lacertidae. The record is from the annotation of a GenBank genome assembly.
GUCAUAGCUCAGCAAUAGAGCACCUGUUUUGCAUGCAGAAGGUCUCAGGUUCAAUUCCUGGCAUCUGCA